GUGCUCAAUUAUGCAGCACAUAUACUAAAGCUGGAAUGAUACAAAGAAGAUUAACAUGGUCACUGCACAAGGAUGACAGGAAAAUUUGUGAAGUGUUCCACAUUUUU
Small nuclear RNA from Pteronotus mesoamericanus, 107 nucleotides. The record is from RefSeq and is a predicted model, not a curated record. NCBI's taxonomy places the organism in Eukaryota, Metazoa, Chordata, Mammalia, Chiroptera, Mormoopidae.